GCCGACAGCUUGCUGUUGGUGGAUGAGUGGCGAACGGGUGAGUAACACGUGAGUAACCUGCCCCUGAUUUCGGGAUAAGCCUGGGAAACUGGGUCUAAUACCGGAUACGACCAACCCUCGCAUGAGGGUUGGUGGAAAGUUUUUCGAUCAGGGAUGGGCUCGCGGCCUAUCAGCUUGUUGGUGGGGUAAUGGCCCACCAAGGCGACGACGGGUAGCCGGCCUGAGAGGGCGACCGGCCACACUGGGACUGAGACACGGCCCAGACUCCUACGGGAGGCAGCAGUGGGGAAUAUUGCACAAUGGGGGAAACCCUGAUGCAGCGACGCAGCGUGCGGGAUGACGGCCUUCGGGUUGUAAACCGCUUUCAGCAGGGAAGAAGCGAAAGUGACGGUACCUGCAGAAGAAGUACCGGCUAACUACGUGCCAGCAGCCGCGGUAAUACGUAGGGUACGAGCGUUGUCCGGAAUUAUUGGGCGUAAAGAGCUCGUAGGUGGUUGGUCACGUCUGCUGUGGAAACGCAACGCUUAACGUUGCGCGUGCAGUGGGUACGGGCUGACUAGAGUGCAGUAGGGGAGUCUGGAAUUCCUGGUGUAGCGGUGAAAUGCGCAGAUAUCAGGAGGAACACCGGUGGCGAAGGCGGGACUCUGGGCUGUAACUGACACUGAGGAGCGAAAGCAUGGGGAGCGAACAGGAUUAGAUACCCUGGUAGUCCAUGCCGUAAACGUUGGGCACUAGGUGUGGGGGACAUUCCACGUUCUCCGCGCCGUAGCUAAC
RNAcentral lists this ribosomal RNA (774 nucleotides) under Brevibacterium sediminis. RNAcentral's name for it is "bacterial SSU rRNA". It matches the Rfam family "Bacterial small subunit ribosomal RNA", at positions 71 to 856 of the family's 1533-position model. The record is from RNAcentral. Lineage: Bacteria; Bacillati; Actinomycetota; Actinomycetes; Micrococcales; Brevibacteriaceae.